RNAcentral lists this long non-coding RNA (237 nucleotides) under Elaeis guineensis (African oil palm). Its description in RNAcentral is "long non-coding RNA (EGUI_LNC008636)". Lineage: Eukaryota; Viridiplantae; Streptophyta; Magnoliopsida; Arecales; Arecaceae. The record is from RNAcentral.
AACCAUCUUUCGAAUUAAAAGAGUCGCAUAACUCUUAAAAAGGAGAUCAUGGAGAUAUAGUUAGAGGAGAGAAAAAAAAUCUAUGAUAUAUUUGAUCUACUUUCUUGUUAGAUAGGUACAACUAUGGAUUUAUGGACUUAUAGACAAAAUAAGUUUUAUUUGUAUGUGACAACAUAUUUUAUUGAUGAUGAUUGAAAUUUGAAAUAAAAAUAAUUAACUUUAUGCAUGUGGAAGGAA